CAAAGCCCAAAGAGGAAGUGAGGAGCCCCAGGUCCCACCAUUAGAUCCUCCUGGACCACAGUCACUCGAGGAAGCCUACCCCACACUUACAAAGACAAGACCUCGCCACACAGCAUCUGUCCUCUUCAAGAUCUGCCCCCACCAAGAUGUGUCUCCAGACCAAAACCACAGUCAGAUUGAAGCACAGGCCAGUGCAGAGGAAAUACUGAACACAGAGGAAAAAAUGGCAAGGCCCUAAAUAGUAGGUUCAGCAGGCCCCAGGGGGCCGAGUGUGGAAGUGGAUCUUGAGGGCUUGGAACUGGUGUUGGGGAGAAUAGAAGGGUGGGAAGGUGAGAAUUUACUCACAUGGAAGCCCUCCCAGCAAAGACACCUGGGCCCAUCCUCACUGGCGCCCGGUUGCUUUCAUAGCCGCGGACACAACUUGGGCCCACAGUUAACG
RNAcentral lists this long non-coding RNA (439 nucleotides) under Homo sapiens (human). Its description in RNAcentral is "HSALNT0326951". Lineage: Eukaryota; Metazoa; Chordata; Mammalia; Primates; Hominidae. The record is from RNAcentral.